CUGGAGCUCGAACCAUUUGAAGUUGGGGCAGAUUUUUUUUACAAACUGUUAGAUGAAACUGCAUGGAUGAGCUCGAGGCACCUUGACAUGGCCAUGUUUCUAAUACGCAAAAGACAACUCUCUCAUCCACAACUAUUUGGAAGGGAGUGGACAACCGCCGAGUUUUGUCUGCAGCAAUUUUUACAGCCGUUUGCAAUGCCAAGUGGGAAACGAGUCACGAGGAAACAAUAUGCUGCAAGGACCGUUGACCCUCCCCCUAACUACCUCAAAAAUGUACACCACUUUGUCAAUGGGUCAUGGCAACAUGGGUAUGCGCAAGC
Prunus persica (peach) is the source of this 320-nucleotide long non-coding RNA. RefSeq lists it as uncharacterized. The record is from RefSeq and is a predicted model, not a curated record. The transcript is spliced from 3 exons. NCBI's taxonomy places the organism in Eukaryota, Viridiplantae, Streptophyta, Magnoliopsida, Rosales, Rosaceae.